AUUUCAUGUAAAUUAUACACUUUCGUUUAAUAUUUACUUUAUAGAAAUGGUUUAGCGUCGUCAGAAAAAGCCCGUUAGCAUCUCAAAGGUAAGGCUAAAUACAAGAGGUAACGAUAGACAUGAGCUCUUGUUUAUUAAGCUUGGGCUUUUAAUGUCAUCUUGUGUGUAGAUGAGCUCGCUCUCUCUCUCUCUCUCUCUCUGUCUCUCUCUCUCUCUCCAUAUAUAUCAAUGGAUGAAUGGAAGUAACUUAACCGAAUUAAUUUAACCCUAAAUGUAUCCACUGUUUAAUCCUAAAAUGUGCACUAACGUAACCGGAUAACGUUACAUCACUUACAUAGAGCGUGAAAAUGGACUGAAACCUUCAGGUUUUGAUCUUUCAUGGUAAACACAUAAAUACAAACUUGUUCUGUGAUUUCAGAAGUGCCAGAAAAAAACCUCUAUGACGCAGGAGAAGUUCCUGAUUUUAACAUUUCUGAAGAGCUGCUGACAGAGAGGAUGAAAACACACACAUUUUGAUGUCCACGCUGUAGGAGCAUUACUAAAUAAUGCUUAUGUUCCUAGGUUCUUCCAUGCUGAUGGCUGUGCUCUAGAGUCAUAUCUCCUGUCGAAGAACAUUUUUAGACAUUAUGAACCAUGAAUAAGUUUAGCUCCAACCCCAGUUAAGCAGACCUGAGCAGCUGAUCAAGGAUCAGCAGAAACUCUGCAGAACAUUGGUCCUUCAGCCCAGGACUGGACACCAGUGUUAGUGUCUGUCUCAGAAGCUGAAGAAAAAAGGUCACACCUUAUAGGAAAUAAACGCCCCCUAAGUGUACGGAAAUACCUGGAUGAGGAGAUCAGUGAAAUAAACCAGAUAAAACUGUCAGUGGUCUGAGACAGCUACAAGCCACAAAAACAGUUCAUAGUUCCUGCAUUUCUAUAAUGCAUUAAUGAAUAACAAUAAUUAAAAUAAAAUGUAAUGUCAAGGUUUUGUGUUAAUUCCAGCUAUGUUGAGUAUUCUGUGAAUAAUUUUGAUUUUAGGUGCAUAUUCUUAAUUCUUUGCAAAACAACCUGAACUGUUUGCUAUUGAAAGGUUGGUAUGAAGUUUAAAUAAAUAAAAACAUUAUAUUCUUGA
Carassius gibelio (silver crucian carp) is the source of this 1111-nucleotide long non-coding RNA. RefSeq lists it as uncharacterized. Lineage: Eukaryota; Metazoa; Chordata; Actinopteri; Cypriniformes; Cyprinidae. The transcript has 5 exons. The record is from RefSeq and is a predicted model, not a curated record.